UGGGUUAUCUAUAAUGUCUGUUUUUUUGUUUUGCCACCAAUAUGGGGUAGAGUCAAAGGAUCAGUGAACCUCAAAUGCGGUGGCGGGUGCCAUCAAUGCAUAAGUGUUUAGAAGUCCCCCCAUCUUCUAACUCCUAAGUAAGAGGUCAAUGUAAAAGUCUCUGGUUUGUUGUUUCUUUGCUCAAAAGCAGCCCAUGAAGUUGACAAUGACUUUGUCGGUGAUGCAACAUUUAAUGCUAACAGAAUCUACACAUAUUUACUCCAAAGCCUCAUCGUGGCACAUUCUGGACCAGUGGGGGUAAAAAAGCUGGAGAAUAAAAUCAAAGUAGCCAAAGGGAAAAGAUGAUGGGAUUUAGAGCCAAAGCACAUCUGGAGGUCCAUGAUUGCCAGCUCCUGCUAUAUCUGGGAAAUUAUUUUAUGGAAUUCAUUGGGAUUGAAUUCUGAGUAGGCUCCAUAUGAGGGGUGGGCAAGGUGCAGUCUGACACUCAGCCCCUCAAAAAAUCUAUUUUUUGGUGCUCCAAAUACCCUUUCUUUUAAAUUUUUCUUUGAUUUUGUACUGUGCACGUUUGUAGUUUUCAUUUUAAGAAUGUUUUAAAAACCCCUUGUGAGGGUGGGCGGUCACUUGAUCACGUUUUGAGGGCUGCUUCCCCUAAGUCACUAGUCCCUAGUUUUCUUGACCCCUGAGGCAGCGGGCCCCACAUAAAAGGGAGCUUGCCCCUUUAAGGCAAACCCCGCCCCCUUUAGCCUCACUCCCGCCCCAAGCCAAUCAGCGCUCUCCCAGCCCCAUAUGGGGGCAAAGAGAACUCUGCCGCUCAACCGCACUAGCUUGAGCCGCCGCUCAAGUCCCACCUCCCCUUGUAGGAGAUGAAGGAAUGGCGAUUGGUGCGCGGCGGGACGGAGGCGCUGCUCUCAUUGGCCAAGCGUAGUGCCAAUCCGAAGUCUCGCCACGACGCACCGCCCCCUGGUGGCAGCCGUCGGGGUAGGCUGCGAGAGUGGGAGAGAACCGGGAAGGAGACGCUGCCCUUCCGAAGCAAUGGAGCGAGGCUGCACGAGCAGAAGAUUUUUCUGGAGGCCUGAUUGUCGGCUUGCGACACCGACGUGGAAGCCGCGCCGGAUUUCUGGGCGAACGUUCUAGAACCCAAUGAAUUCUCACCGCCCGCAACC
RNAcentral lists this long non-coding RNA (1163 nucleotides) under Pogona vitticeps (central bearded dragon). RNAcentral describes it as "lncRNA (ENSPVIG00000018010.1)". The record is from RNAcentral. Lineage: Eukaryota; Metazoa; Chordata; Lepidosauria; Squamata; Agamidae.